Molecule: long non-coding RNA, 3390 nt
Organism: Manacus vitellinus (golden-collared manakin)
Lineage: Eukaryota; Metazoa; Chordata; Aves; Passeriformes; Pipridae
Source: Ensembl
GAUGAAAGAGCUGGAACUGUCACACAAAAAACUUCUUGUGAUGAUUGAUCAGCUCAAUGUGAAGUUGCAAAAGGUUGAAAAUACCAAUGUACGUGUUAAAGGGAAAUUGCGAGACAUUCAGGAGGAUCUGAUCAACUUGGUUGAAAACCAAAAAAAGUCAGAGAAGAAGCAAAAGGAAAAAUUGUGUUGGCUUCAGGAGCAGCUGAAGACAAAAGAAGAAGAAAUAAAAAACCAAUCAGAAUAUUUUGAGCACUACAAACAAAGACAGAGACAACAAACAGCAGUAUUGAGAAAGAGGGAAUGUUACCUUCGGGGUGAGGUAUCUAGGCUGGAAAAGCAAGUCCUAGAUCUUAGCUCCCAUGUUGCUGUUUUGACAUCCGAGAUAGAAGAGGGAAUGGUGCAGCAUCUCCAGCAGGUGCUGGAAUCAACGUUCAGUGGGACUCGGGGUUAUAAACACCCUGACAUGGAAGUAGUGGAAUGGAAAACUUGUUUUGAAAAUGUGGAGCAUGAUGUGAAAAGCCACCUUCAGGCAUUUCAGCAAAAUCUGAAGUUCUUAAGGGAAAAAGAGGAGGACAACAGAAGAGAACAGGGAGACCUGUUGACUGAACUGCAGUGCUCUCAGGACAAUGAAGACUUCCUCAGAACAAAAUUGGAAGAAUCUUCCUGUCAUGUCUAUAGUUUGAAAUUAUCUGAAAUCAAACUACAGGAAAAAAUGGAAGAGCUUUUGGAUGAAAACAGAGCUUUAAAAGAUCACAGUACAAUGAUGUUGAAAAAGAAAAAAGAAAAAGACUCACAACUUGCAAGAUUGGAGAAUGGAGACAACAGUGUUGACCUGGUAUGUCAACUGAAUGGAGACCUAAUUCAGGAUGAAGUUCAAAAUCUUAAAUGGAGACCAGUCUUGGAUUCACUCAGAAGCAGAGCUACUCAAACUCCAGCUGUGCUGCUACAUGCUGAAGAGUCUGUGCUUUUCCAUAACAGAAACACCAGGAUGUAGUCAUGAUGGACUAAAGGAGGAGCUACCAGAAGAAUCUGUACCAGUUUGGGAAGGCAAUUCCAGUGUCUUUGUGAAAGUUGCUGGUCUAGCUGAGGCUGAGCAGGUCACCCUUGGAACAGAGAGGGCAGGAACUCUAGAAGAUAGUUUCACUUUGUUUGGGUGUCCCCCAAUUUAUCAUGCAGCAGGACUGCUUUCCCCUUAUUCUGAGAAGUUAUCUGAUGAUGAGACAAGUAAGAAAACCAAAGGUGAAGAAACCAUUUUUCUCUUGAAGGAACAAGCUAUAACUCUACCAACAAAAACAUUCCCUGCUUCUGUGGUUGAACACUUGAUGAGGAAGAAGCUCCAGCUUACUUGGUUCAAACCUGAAAGCUGCCACUCAUCAGCUGUCACCACUGUGGAGAAAGUGAGGAGUGCGAGUUUCUGUGAGGCAAAUACUAAUCUUUGGUCUGCUGGCCUCUGCAUUGUUGCAGAAGGGGGAUUUUAUGACAAAGUUCCUGUACUUUGUGGAAAGUUGCCUUCCACUGUGACUGAAAUUUUCACAGCAUGUCUAGAAAAAUACAACAUGGAAAGACAUUGGGAAAACAAGCAAAUUCUGCCAAAAAGCCUAAGUGAAAAUAGAUGUCUGGAUAAAAUUGUUGAUGAUGAAAAGUAUCACCAAAAAAUCUCUAGAGGGAGAGCUAAAGGAGAAGAAAUACAGACUGAGAAAUCCCAGCCACAACUGGUGACCUGCGUUCUUGAGGAAAGUUCUAAAGUUUUACAUAAAAUUGAAUUUAUCAGUCCUGAGAAGCAAGGAAUGGAAGCCAAAGAGAGACUAAGUAGCAUACAGGAUGUCCGAAGUUUGUCUCUUGAUUUUAAAGACUUGAUUUUAAAGAAGUGUUUUGAAGGGAGUCUUGGACUAAUGGAGAAAGAAGAAAACAUCUCAGAGAACUGCAUCUCUGAUGUGAAUAGGAGAUAUAAUGGAGAAGAUAUAAUUGAAAUGGAAGAGAAAGGAGUGCAGGCUCAGAAACCAACUCACCAAACCAACCCCUCCAGCAAUAUUGGCAUGAAAGAAAAGAAAGGCCAGACCUUGGGACUAUGUGAACCAUAUGAGAAGAAUUUCUCAUAUGAAAAAAUAGCUGCUGAAAACGUGCAAUAUGCAUACUCUCAGAAUUUCUUUUGGUCAGAUGAAGAGAGGUAUCCACUAAAAUUGCUGUUUCCUGUGCAGGAGAGUGUUGUGUGCCUAGGCAAACUAUUCCUGCCAGAGAGCAGUUUUUAUGAGUGUUUCUGUCAUCUGUCACCACUUGAAGCCUGUAAUGAAUGUAAUGUGAAAAUAUCUGUACUGGAAAAAGCAGUGACUGUGUGUUCUCACAGGAUAUUUCUACUCAUGCAAGAAAAUGAAAAUUAUUCCAAAAAAGUCUGUAUAUUAAAACAGGAGAAUGAGAGAUAUGCUCAGAUGAUGUGUGCCCUGGAAGAGGAGAUGGAUGCAUAUUUUCAGUACAUUUUAGCAGCAGAUGAAGCUAACAUUGUUUCAUUCCAAAACUUACUUAAUGAGAAAGAGGUUUCUGGUGGAUGUUACAGUAACUUAUCAGGAGAAAACACCAUGACCCCAGGAACAUUUUUAGUUAAAACUUUCUCUAAGAACCUCCCAUGUAUUGAAGAGAAAAAUAGGAAUUCUGAAAAAGACUCAUCGACAAUUGCAUCAAAUAAACUUUCCAGGAGUGUUCUAUCCCUGAAGGGAAGGAAAAUGAGGUAUUUCCAGCUACUUUCUGACCUAAAAGAAGAAAGAAGCAGAUGCUUCAAAGAAAUAGCUAAAUUAUUACAAGACAAGGAGAACUGUGUAGCAAAAUACAAUGAAUUAAUACAGGAGAGAGAGGAAAAUUUACAAAGAAUAGCUCUUUCAGAGCGUGAAAAAGAAACUUUGUUGGGACAUUUAGCAGAGAUAAAGUGUGAGCAAGACAAAUACAAGACCUUGGUUUCAGAACUCCAAGACUGCAAAACCAGCUGUUAUAAAAGAAUUUCUGAUUUACAGGAGGAAAAAUAUGUGCUGAAAAGAGAGAUAGACAAAAUCAAGAAAGAAACUUCAGAGCGGCUAGAUGAAUUUCAGAAAGCAAAUACAAACUUUAUUUUAGAAAAUAAAAAAUUGAAAGAAUUAGUGUCUUCUUUGGGUUUCACCUAUGAAGAGCUGAGAAAAGAGAAAAGUUUGGGAACAAAGAAAAAGAUAGUAAAAGUAAAAGAAGAAAGUCAGCAACAUGGUCUUAAGCCAAAGAAAUUUGAAACAGUGUGUAGUGUAACACAAACUGAAGAAGAAGUAGUUCUGGUUAUAAAUCCUUCAAACUAUUUCCCUGGGAAGGAGGUAAAUAAUAACAGGAAGGAGUGUUGUGAAGCAGUGUCUUCUAAAGAAAGGGGGAGAUAUAAAA